CCAGCAGCCGCGGUAAUACGGAGGGUGCGAGCGUUAAUCGGAAUUACUGGGCGUAAAGCGCAUGCAGGUGGUUGUUAAGUCAGAUGUGAAAGCCCGGGGCUCAACCUCGGAAUUGCAUUUGAAACUGGCAAACUAGAGUACUGUAGAGGGGGUAGAAUUUCAGGUGUAGCGGUGAAAUGCGUAGAGAUCUGAAGGAAUACCGGUGGCGAAGGCGGCCCCCUGGACCAGAUACUGACACUCAGAUGCGAAAGCGUGGGGAGCAAACAGGAUUAGAUACCCUCGGUAG
This 286-nucleotide ribosomal RNA is filed under the name uncultured bacterium. RNAcentral describes it as "partial 16S ribosomal RNA". It matches the Rfam family "Bacterial small subunit ribosomal RNA", at positions 508 to 793 of the family's 1533-position model. The record is from RNAcentral.